This 440-nucleotide ribosomal RNA is filed under the name uncultured bacterium. RNAcentral describes it as "partial 16S ribosomal RNA". It matches the Rfam family "Bacterial small subunit ribosomal RNA", at positions 338 to 795 of the family's 1533-position model. The record is from RNAcentral.
CCUACGGGAGACAGCAGUGGGGAAUAUUGCACAAUGGGGGCAACCCUGAUGCAGCGAUGCCGCGUGAGUGAAGAAGUAUUUCGGUAUGUAAAGCUCUAUCAGCAGGGAAGAAAAUGACGGUACCUGAUUAAGAAGCACCGGCUAACUACGUGCCAGCAGCCGCGGGAAUACGUAGGGGGCAAGCGUUAUCCGGAUUUACUGGGUGUAAAGGGAGCGUAGACGGCAGCACAAGUCUGGAGUGAAAUGCCGGGGCUUAACCCCGGAACUGCUUUGGAAACUGUGCAGCUAGAGUGCAGGAGAGGUAAGUGGAAUUCCUAGUGUAGCGGUGAAAUGCGUAGAGAUUAGGAGGAACACCAGUGGCGAAGGCGGCUUACUGGACUGUAACUGACGUUGAGGCGCGAAAGCGUGGGGAGCAAACAGGAUUAGAUACCCUUGUAGUC